UACGGAGGGUGCAAGCGUUGUUCGGAUUUAUUGGGCGUAAAGCGCGUGUAGGCGGUUUCUUAAGUCUGAUGUGAAAGCCCUGGGCUCAACCCAGGAAGUGCAUUGGAUACUGGGAAACUUGAAUACGGGAGAGGGUAGUGGAAUUCCUAGUGUAGGAGUGAAAUCCGUAGAUAUUAGGAGGAACACCGGUGGCGAAGGCGGCUACCCGGACCGAUAUUGACGCUGAGACGCGAAAGCGUGGGGAGCAAACAGG
RNAcentral lists this ribosomal RNA (253 nucleotides) under uncultured bacterium. Its description in RNAcentral is "partial 16S ribosomal RNA". It matches the Rfam family "Bacterial small subunit ribosomal RNA", at positions 524 to 776 of the family's 1533-position model. The record is from RNAcentral.